AGGUAGGGGAGAAUGGAAUUCCUGGUGGAGCGGUGGAAUGCGCAGAUAUCAGGAGGAACACCAGUGGCGAAGGCGGUUCUCUGGGCCUUUCCUGACGCUGAGGAGCGAAAGCGUGGGGAGCGAACAGGCUUAGAUACCCUGGUAGUCCACGCUGUAAACGGUGGGUACUAGGUGUGGGGUCCAUUCCACGGGUUCCGUGCCGUAGCUAACGCUUUAAGUACCCCGCCUGGGGAGUACGGCCGCAAGGCUAAAACUCAAAGGAAUUGACGGGGCCCCGCACAAGCGGCGGAGCAUGCGGAUUAAUUCGAUGCAACGCGUAGAACCUUACCUGGGUUUGACAUGGAUCGGGAGUGCUCAGAGAUGGGUGUGCCUCUUUUGGGGUCGGUUCACAGGUGGUGCAUGGCUGUCGUCAGCUCGUGUCGUGAGAUGUUGGGUUAAGUCCCGCAACGAGCGCAACCCUUGUUCACUGUUGCCAGCACGUUAUGGUGGGGACUCAGUGGAGACCGCCGGGGUCAACUCGGAGGAAGGUGGGGAUGACGUCAAGUCAUCAUGCCCCUUAUGUCCAGGGCUUCACGCAUGCUACAAUGGCUGGUACAGAGAGUGGCGAGCCUGUGAGGGUGAGCGAAUCUCGGAAAGCCGGUCUCAGUUCGGAUUGGGGUCUGCAACUCGACCUCAUGAAGUCGGAGUCGCUAGUAAUCGCAGAUCAGCAACGCUGCGGUGAAUACGUUCCCGGGGCU
RNAcentral lists this ribosomal RNA (737 nucleotides) under uncultured bacterium. RNAcentral's name for it is "bacterial SSU rRNA". It matches the Rfam family "Bacterial small subunit ribosomal RNA", at positions 649 to 1381 of the family's 1533-position model. The record is from RNAcentral.